This 253-nucleotide ribosomal RNA is filed under the name uncultured bacterium. RNAcentral describes it as "partial 16S ribosomal RNA". It matches the Rfam family "Bacterial small subunit ribosomal RNA", at positions 524 to 776 of the family's 1533-position model. The record is from RNAcentral.
UACGAAGGGAACUAGCGUUGUUCGGAUUUACUGGGCGUAAAGAGCACGUAGGCGGAUUGGUCAGUUGGGGGUGAAAGCCCGGAGCUCAACUCCGGAACUGCCUUCAAUACUACCAAUCUAGAGUCCGUAAGGGGGUGGUGGAAUUCCGAGUGUAGAGGUGAAAUUCGUAGAUAUUCGGAGGAACACCAGUGGCGAAGGCGACCACCUGGUACGGUACUGACGCUGAGGUGCGAAAGCGUGGGGAGCAAACAGG